This 199-nucleotide ribosomal RNA is filed under the name uncultured bacterium. RNAcentral describes it as "partial 16S ribosomal RNA". It matches the Rfam family "Bacterial small subunit ribosomal RNA", at positions 328 to 539 of the family's 1533-position model. The record is from RNAcentral.
ACGCUCGACACCUACGGGAGUCAGCAGUGGGGAAUAUUGCACAAUGGGGGAAACCCUGAUGCAGCGACGCCGCGUGGAGGAAGAAGGUCUUCGGAUUGUAAACUCCUGUUGUUGGGGAAAAAGAGGAUGGUACCCAACAAGGAAGUGACGGCUAACUACGUGCCAGCAGCCGCGGUAAUCUGAGGCGGGCUGGCAAGGC